RNAcentral lists this ribosomal RNA (460 nucleotides) under uncultured bacterium. RNAcentral describes it as "partial 16S ribosomal RNA". It matches the Rfam family "Bacterial small subunit ribosomal RNA", at positions 338 to 795 of the family's 1533-position model. The record is from RNAcentral.
CCUACGGGAGGCAGCAGUGAGGAAUAUUGGUCAAUGGCCGUAAGGCUGAACCAGCCAAGUCGCGUGAAGGAAGAAGGAUCUCUGGUUUGUAAACUUCUUUUAUAGGGGAAUAAAGGUGUCCACGUGUGGAUUUUUGCAUGUACCCUAUGAAUAAGCAUCGGCUAACUCUGGUUCAGGAGCCGCGGUAAUACGGAGGAUGCGGGCGUUAUCCGGAUUUGUUUGGUUUAAAGGGUGCGUAGGUUGUUUUUUAAGUCCGCAGGGAAAGUUUGUGGCUCAACCAUAAAAUUGCCGUUGAAACUGGAAGACUUGAGUGUGAUUGAGGUAGGCGGAAUGCGUGGUGUAGCGGUGAAAUGCAUAGAUAUAACGCAGAACUCCGAUUGCGAAGGCAGCUUACUAAGCCAUAACUGACACUGAAGCACGAAAGCGUGGGGAUCAAACAGGAUUAGAUACCCUGGUAGUC